Molecule: long non-coding RNA, 375 nt
Organism: Mauremys reevesii (Reeves's turtle)
Lineage: Eukaryota; Metazoa; Chordata; Testudines; Geoemydidae
Exons: 3
Source: RefSeq, a predicted model, not a curated record
UGAAAGCACUAUGGAAAUGCAAAUUAUGAUCAGCUGCAUUCAACACUGGUGGACAUGUUGGAAAUGGCUAGGUGAAUAACAUCAGCAGGACUCUCUGAAAGUCUGGCAGAAUUAAUGAUAUUCUCUUUCUUUCCCUAGUGAAACUCCCUACACCCCAGGGGCUGCUGGCACGACUCCUGGUAGUGGCCUCAUCCCCUUAUGCAGGAGAAGGACACGGAUGUGCUGCCUUGCAGUUACUACAGGCCCUGCACCAAAAUAUCCAUGUAGCAGUGGGUGAGACGUGGGCAGUAAAGAUCCCAUCUCUGCUGCAGUACAUUGAAGGAAACACAGAGAAUUCCCUGGACCACGCGCGGUGGGAGCACAUGCUGCUUCAGG